AAUCCUCAACCCUUCUCCCUUUCUUCUUUGAUCGGGGGUAAAGGGCUUGGACUUUGGAGGUUCUCUGCUGGCCUUUCCUUCAAAAGGCCUAGCUCCUCUUAAAUGAAUUAGCGGGGUCCCUUCUGUCGAUCCUUGAUGUGAUAAGGUUUCUCCUACAUCCGGGAUUUUGGCAUCUUAGGCCCGCUUCUAAUCGAAUGAAACCC
This 203-nucleotide unclassified non-coding RNA is filed under the name uncultured Russulaceae. RNAcentral's name for it is "sequence contains ITS2". Lineage: Eukaryota; Fungi; Basidiomycota; Agaricomycetes; Russulales; Russulaceae. The record is from RNAcentral.